CCAUUCUGCAGAAGGAAACAAAACCAAGAACAUUUAGAGAUGUUGCUACCCUACUGUAAUAAAGGAAACUGUUUCAAUGAGAUCAUGUUAUGCUUCCAAAACUCACAGGAAAGGCUACAGUCCAGAGGACAUCAAAUCUUACUACAGAACUUUAAGAAUUUGAUUCCCAUUGCUUUAAUCCUGGAAGCACCACUUGAAUUUUAUUCACAUUACACUUUGCCAUGCCCUAGAGGAAAGAGGCUAAAUGCAAGUAUUUCUUACCUUAUUUUUUUCUGAAGAUGCUUUAUCAUGAAUGGUGACAUAUCAAAAACUAGUAUUGUGAAUUGAUGGUAUGUUUAAUAUGAUUAGUUAUCAACAUGUUAGUGAGUGCCAUCAGCUUACAGAAAGUAUAGCAGCAACUACCUACAGCUUCAUCAUUUCCAAUCAAAAUCAAAAUAUGAUUUCAAUUUUGAGUGCUAGAAAAAGGAAACUUUUUUUUUCACAUUUGAAUGCACAAGAAUCAUCAAUAGAACCUCUAUAAAAUCAUGUUACAACUGUGGCAGCCACUCUUAACAGGUUUGGCAGCAUUGCAAAACAUCCCACUUCUGAAUGUAUCUACUGUGCCAAUGUCCAACAUUUCCUAUGUUCCUAUGGUAUUCUUGAGUGUACUGCCUUAGCAGGUCUCUUGCAGGAUGUAUUAUUUGGCCAGGGACUCAAUUAAAUGUUUAAUUUAAAUUCAUUAAGAAAAGUCUUUUUUGUCCCAGUCAAGCAUCCUGUGCUGUUAAUGUCAGAAUGCAGUAGUGAAUCCUGGUCUCUCGAUGGCCACAGUGGUACAACCCCAAAUGUUGUAAAUACUGCUUGCUUGGUUUUUACUAUAGCUUCUCCCCAGCAUUAUCCAAGUUAACUUAGAGGACACCUUGGUCGUAGUGGUUUUACAAAAGAAAGGAUGUAUUUCAGGUGUGGAACAAAAAGAAAGGGCUCAGAAGCAGCUCCUGGAAAGACGAGUUAAUAAAAGCUGUGCCUUUACACCGACUGGCAUAUUAAUCAUGAGCAGAUUGUCAGUAUACAGACAGCCACCCUAACUGGAGUCCUCAUGGAAAAACAAAUCUACUGAAGCACUCUCUAGACUCCAUCAUUGUUUCUCUGGAAAAGCUUACCUACCACUCUUAGUUUUAAAUAAGUUUGUUUUGGACUUCCAA
Molecule: long non-coding RNA, 1178 nt
Organism: Pezoporus occidentalis (night parrot)
Lineage: Eukaryota; Metazoa; Chordata; Aves; Psittaciformes; Psittacidae
Exons: 2
Source: RefSeq, a predicted model, not a curated record